Molecule: ribosomal RNA, 468 nt
Filed under: uncultured bacterium
Lineage: Bacteria
Description: partial 16S ribosomal RNA
Rfam family: Bacterial small subunit ribosomal RNA
Source: RNAcentral
GACGAACGCUGGCGGCGGGCUUAACACAUGCAAGUCGAACGGAAGAGCCCAGCUUGCGUGUGGUUCUCGAGGGGCGAACGUGAGAGUAACACGGGAGUAACCUGCCCUGUGCGUGGGGAUAACUGGAGGAAAGUGGGGCUAAUGCCGGAUAGGAGCGCCUGCUGGAUGGGGGUGUUUGGAAAGUUUGGGCGGAGGGGGAUGGACGCCCGGCUAAUCAGCUGGUGGGUGGGGUAGUGGCUUACCAAGCGUUUGACGGGUAGCCGGCCUGGGAGGGUGAACGGGGACAAUGGGACUGAGAGACGCACCAGUCUGCAACGGGAGGCAGCAGGGGGGAACCUGACCCAAUGGGCGGAAGUGUGUUGAAGAAGCCCUGGGUGCGGGAUGCAGGCCUUCGGGUUGUAAACCGCAUUAGCCUGUGACGAAGCGUGAGUGACGUUAAUGAGUAAAGAAGCACCGGCUAACUACGUG